AUGGCGUCUCGUCUGCUUGCGGCGGCCUCCUCCUCCUCCGCCUCCUCCUCCCCCCUCGCCCGCCUCAUCUCCAGCCGCCGUAUGGCCGGCGCCGCAGAUCACCACGGAUCGACCAAGGUGAACAUGUGGCAGGAGCCCUUGAACCCCGGCAACUGGAAGGAAGAGCACCUCUCAUGGCUCAUCCACUGGCAUGAAGUCUACAAGUCCAAAUGUAAUUAUUUUUAUUUAAUCUCCCUCUUGUUAGUAAUUACAGAACUACUACAGUUUGUGCUAGCCAGCUUAGCUAUGUGGGGCGCUAUUAUAUAUGGUGGAUUGAAGGCAUUUGGUGGGAAAAAAGAAGUGAAAACAGAGUCGUGCAAGAAUUUUUCAAGGAUUAUUUUGGUAGUUACCAAUACAUGA
This 399-nucleotide ribosomal RNA is filed under the name Triticum aestivum (bread wheat). RNAcentral describes it as "partial small subunit ribosomal RNA". Lineage: Eukaryota; Viridiplantae; Streptophyta; Magnoliopsida; Poales; Poaceae. The record is from RNAcentral.